UUCAAUAACUGUACUGCCUUUUAUUGCAAUUAACCGACAGCAACCUUCAGUGAAUGUGCACGUGUUUGCCUAUUUGUAAAUGUAUAAAAGUGUUUCUGUUUACUAAAUUAAUUUGAGUGAAUAAAAUAAGUGUUUUUCAAUAUAAUAAGAAUGAAUAAUAGAAAAAAAUCUGCCAGAAAUAUGAGGGAAGACGACAUUUUGGCGAUUAUCAAUUCCAGCGACUCUGACAACAGCUCAUUGCGCAAGGAAGAGUUGGGACAAAAGUCAAAAGGACAUCUACAACAAAAGGACCCAGGUCAAAAAGAGCAAAAAAAAUGUUAAACGUGGGAGAUCAUAUGCCAGUAAAAGGUGAUCGCCGCAGACGCUGUGUUUUAUGCACCUCAAUAAAAAAAGAAAAACGCACGUAUUACAUUUGUUCAAUGUGCAAAGAGCCCUUAUGCUUUGAAUGUUUUGGCAUGUUCCAUAAAUAAAUAAAACUUAAAUUGAGUUACAAAUAAAAACUAAAUUUUAUUAUUCUCAAAAAAUUAUAC
This is a long non-coding RNA of Bactrocera dorsalis (oriental fruit fly), 530 nucleotides long. RefSeq lists it as uncharacterized. The transcript has 3 exons. NCBI's taxonomy places the organism in Eukaryota, Metazoa, Arthropoda, Insecta, Diptera, Tephritidae. The record is from RefSeq and is a predicted model, not a curated record.